RNAcentral lists this ribosomal RNA (164 nucleotides) under Lathyrus pannonicus subsp. varius. Its description in RNAcentral is "5.8S ribosomal RNA". It matches the Rfam family "5.8S ribosomal RNA". From Rfam's summary of the family: 5.8S ribosomal RNA (5.8S rRNA) is a component of the large subunit of the eukaryotic ribosome. It is transcribed by RNA polymerase I as part of the 45S precursor that also contains 18S and 28S rRNA. Lineage: Eukaryota; Viridiplantae; Streptophyta; Magnoliopsida; Fabales; Fabaceae. The record is from RNAcentral.
AGAAUGACUCUCGGCAACGGAUAUCCAGGCUCUUGCAUCGAUGAAGAACGUAGCGAAAUGCGAUACUUGGUGUGAAUUGCAGAAUCCCGUGAACCAUCGAGUCUUUGAACGCAAGUUGCGCCCGAUGCCAUUAGGUUGAGGGCACGUCUGCCUGGGUGUCAAAU